GCCACUGCUUUCCUCCUCUACAUAUCAGGCUCAUUCACUCUGCCUGUCCCAGAUAACAGAAGCCACCAAAAACAGGGUAAAUGAGAAACCUGGGGGAAUGCCAAGGAAUGAAAUCCUGCCCUGGCUCUCUGUAAUUCCCACACGGACCUUCCCCUAAAGCUAGACUGGUCACUUUCCUCAACACUGCAUGUGAGAAUGUACUCCACCUCAUUUUUCCUGUCACUUGUCUUUGGCCAUAUAUCUUAUCUCACUUAAUCCUUAUGUCAGUGUCAUAGAUAAUUUGACUUUCCCAAGAUCUCACAGCCAGUAAAUGAAAGAUUCAGACCUUGAACCAUGUUUUUUCCUUUUAGAUUCUGUCAUCUCCCACCUUUCCUGCAGUUUUUCUCACUUCUGAUAAACUUCCUCAGUACCUCAGCACACACACAGUGGUUCCCCUCUUGGUCUCUGUUCU
Molecule: long non-coding RNA, 451 nt
Filed under: Marmota monax (woodchuck)
Lineage: Eukaryota; Metazoa; Chordata; Mammalia; Rodentia; Sciuridae
Source: RNAcentral